RNAcentral lists this long non-coding RNA (249 nucleotides) under Manihot esculenta (cassava). Its description in RNAcentral is "long non-coding RNA (MESC_LNC010984)". Lineage: Eukaryota; Viridiplantae; Streptophyta; Magnoliopsida; Malpighiales; Euphorbiaceae. The record is from RNAcentral.
UAAUCAACAAGUUGCCAAGGAAUGUCCUUGGGCCUUAGACAUCAAAACAACUGUCAAUUGCAUUAAGAAAUAGAGAGAUCUAAUCCUAGCUACCCAAACGCAUGGUGAUAUUACUAGAUUAUGCAACUUCCUUAGUUUUUACACCAAGUGUUCUUGUGUUUGAACAAUCCAAGCAAUUACGGACUCAAAAUUAUUCAAACUAACAAUAUAUUACCUUGCAAUCAAGAAUCAAGUGGCCACAUUGAUCAU